This is a long non-coding RNA of Equus quagga, 649 nucleotides long. RefSeq lists it as uncharacterized. The transcript is spliced from 3 exons. The record is from RefSeq and is a predicted model, not a curated record. Lineage: Eukaryota; Metazoa; Chordata; Mammalia; Perissodactyla; Equidae.
GAUGGGGAUGGUUCCAGCCCCUCUGCCAGGGCUCCGUCCGAGAUCUCCGAGGCGCUCUGGCCCUUAGCUCCCGGACUGGGCUCCCUGCCCUAUCUUGCUUCCCUAACUCCGGGACCAGCUGAGUUCCCAACGCUGAGUAACCUGGAAAAAGUGAUUACUUCUCUCCCGGCCUCAGUCUUCCCAUCUGUACAAUGGAGGAAGAUCUCCAGCUCUGUCUCCUACAACCCACCUCCCAAGGUGGCUCUAAAGCAUGCGGGGUUGGAGGGCGGCGCUUAGCGGAAAGCACCUGCGAGUUCAAAUCCCAGUUCCACUCGGCCUCACGAUGUGUGUGCCCCGUGUGAGUCGGUUCUGCUCCCUGGGCCUCAGUUUCCCCACCCGUACAACGUGAGUGAUCAUCCGUCCUCUGCUGGACAGUUGGGAGGCCUUGGUCCGGGCCUCCGCACCCCUCAUCCGCCCUGGGCACUCAGCAAGUAUUACUUCUGUCUUUGCCCCCUUUGACAGAUGGGAAAACUGAGGCCCAGGAAGAGGUGGCCGCGGCUCAGUGGUGCCGCGAGGAGGCCCCUCCACGGCCGGCAGCGCCCCAGCCCCUCCCUCCUCCCCCCACUUCCCCUGGCCGCCGAAGGGAGGGACGCCGGGCGGGGCCGGGGCG